This is a long non-coding RNA of Dermochelys coriacea (leatherback sea turtle), 2236 nucleotides long. RefSeq lists it as uncharacterized. The record is from RefSeq and is a predicted model, not a curated record. The transcript has 3 exons. Lineage: Eukaryota; Metazoa; Chordata; Testudines; Dermochelyidae.
AUCUUAUGUGCUGGCCUUGGUGGGAGAGGAGAGGAGAGGAGAGCCGAGGUCUCCCUGAGAGGCUGGGACUGAGUGGAACAGCUUCAACAGGAGAGACUGAGCAAGCCCCACAUCAGAAUAUCCCAAGGCUCAGUGGUUAAAGCCCUCUCCUGAGAAGAUCUGAACAGGGCUCUUCUUCCUUUGUCCCCAUCAAGCAAAGGGGUGGGUUUGAACCUGGGUCUCCCAUGUCCCAGAUAUUUCUCUCCCCAAAUCCUCUUCCGAUAGCCUCAGGAAUCUGUUUUACAAUCCUCACUGGUGUAAUUAGCGCUUCAUAAUAUUAAGAACCAUCGAGUCCUUUCUGCUGUGCAUCUCUGGGAAUCAAAACACCUGACUUAUCUAAUUAAUCACUCCCUGAUUCUUCUGUGACCAUGUUACAUAAAACACUUGUACAUAAAAUAAUCAUUGCAUGAAACAAAUGUUGCAUAAAACAAUUCUGUGUAUCUGAAUAAUUUUAUUUUUCCAUUGUUCUUGUCUCCAGUAUGAGGCCAUCAUGACAGACAAAGUUAUUUAGUUGUAUUGCUUUUCAAAGUGUGGCCAACAGACUAUGGGUUGUUCCUGGACCACUUCCAGGUGGUAUGUAGAGCUGUCUUCGUCACAAUGGUGAAGCAUGUCCAUUUUCAGGAAAUGAUGCUUCUUCCUACAUGUGCCUUGUUUGGCUAGUUAAGCUUAACACAAUGAGCCUUUCUGUGCACCCUUUAUGGCUGCUUAGUGUCUUUUAUUCUGGCUGUUUCUUUGACAUAAAUCCAACUGUGAGCAAGUUUGCAAAUUACACAAAAAUUGAGGAGGACUGAAUACACAGGAAAGGGCUGAACUGCAAAGUCAAUUGGAGAAUGCAGGAGGAAGGCUAAUGUAGGUAAUAAUGCACUGGACUGGCAUCCAGGAGCUUCAUUUCCUGGUUUUGCUACAGACUAGUUGUGUGACUUUUGGCAAGUCAUGUCUAUCUGUGCUUCAGUUCCCCAUCUGUAAAGUUUGUCUUUCUCCCAUUAUUUGUCUGAAUUGUCUAUUAUAUUGUAAACUGUUCAGGAUAGGAUUCUCUUACUAUUUUUGUACAGCACCAUAAAAUCGGUCACCUAGCACAGUUGGUGCCUAUCAGGCUACCCAAAUGGUCCAUAAUUUAAGAAGAACAGUAGGAGAGAAAUACUACAGGUAUUUAAUCCUAGUAAAUAUGAUGUAUCAAUACCCUGAAGAGCAUGGAACGGCACAAACUGGAACUUGCAUUAUUGUGCAUUGUAGAGGUUUGUAGGAACACUUUUUUUUUUUUUUUUUUUUUUUUUUUAAAGAAAAGUCUGAACCAAAACCUUGGCUUCAGAUUGAUCUGGACUUUGGGUAUAUUUGAGGUCUGAACCCACAUCUAGAUCCAAAUUUUGCAACAGGCCCUUUUCAAAAUGUUCUGGACUAAAACACUGCGUGAUCAAGAUACAGAACUGAACUGUGUGGCUUAGGUCCAUCUCUAACAUCAAUCCAUAUAUUCUUUUCACACAGCACUUCUUCAUGAAGGGCUUCCAUUUUGAACUAUUCCCAAAUCUCAAAGAGCAAAACAUCCACUAAGGUUUAUGUCAAAAUAUGUGAAACUUGCAGAUUUGUCAUGGUUUCAAUACAAAGCUGUAAACCAGUACAGAUCUGCUCAAAAUUGGGCUCAGACUCAGUUACAACUAUGUGCAGGCUUGCUUGAAGAUUAAUGGAUGAGAGGAAGCCUUUUCAAUAAGCCUGGUCUGCAUUCUUUUUUCAGAAUGGGUGAGUUUUAAUGGGUGUGGGGUUUUGCCUUGCUCAUAUUGCACAGUGCCAUUGGGCACACUUUCCCUUGUGGGAAAGCAACAACUUGGAAUGCGCUCUAUUUGCGGUGAUGAUAUGGCAACUUAAGGGAGCAGGACAGAGGACACAUCAGGGGAAUUUGUACGAAAGCUUAAAGCAGGUUUUGAACCUAUGAAAUCUAAUAAAGCUAUGAAACACACUUUUUGCUUUAGCCUAUAUUCGAGAGGAGCUAAGGGAAUUUGCAGAGGUUAGCAGCCAGUGACGGUAUAAUAUUGAGUUGCACUAUUUGAAGGCCACAAAUGCUUUUAAACUUGAUAGGCUUAAAUGUCUUCCAUUAUUGGCCCAUGUGCCCAAUUCCCCAGUGCUUUGUACAUAAUGUAGUUAUGUGUAUCUGUGUAAAGCAAAUGUAAAAUGCUGCCAUUGAUUUUUGUAGUAUCUUACACCC